Molecule: ribosomal RNA, 908 nt
Filed under: uncultured Pleosporales
Lineage: Eukaryota; Fungi; Ascomycota; Dothideomycetes; Pleosporales
Description: SSU rRNA
Rfam family: Eukaryotic small subunit ribosomal RNA
Source: RNAcentral
GCUCUUUGGUGAUUCAUGAUAACUUAACGGAUCGCAUGGCCUUGCGCCGGCGACGGUUCAUUCAAAUUUCUGCCCUAUCAACUUUCGAUGGUAAGGUAUUGGCUUACCAUGGUUUCAACGGGUAACGGGGAAUUAGGGUUCGAUUCCGGAGAGGGAGCCUGAGAAACGGCUACCACAUCCAAGGAAGGCAGCAGGCGCGCAAAUUACCCAAUCCCGACACGGGGAGGUAGUGACAAUAAAUACUGAUACAGGGCUCUUUUGGGUCUUGUAAUCGGAAUGAGUACAAUUUAAACCCCUUAACGAGGAACAAUUGGAGGGCAAGUCUGGUGCCAGCAGCCGCGGUAAUUCCAGCUCCAAUAGCGUAUAUUAAAGUUGUUGCAGUUAAAAAGCUCGUAGUUGAACCUUGGGCCUGGCUGGCCGGUCCGCCUCACCGCGUGUACUGGUCCGGCCGGGCCUUUCCUUCUGGAGGGCCCCAUGCCCUUCACUGGGCGUGCGGGGGAACCAGGACUUUUACUUUGAAAAAAUUAGAGUGUUCAAAGCAGGCCUUUGCUCGAAUACGUUAGCAUGGAAUAAUAGAGUAGGACGUGCGGUCCUAUUUUGUUGGUUUCUAGGACCGCCGUAAUGAUUAAUAGGGAUAGUCGGGGGCAUCAGUAUUCAAUUGUCAGAGGUGAAAUUCUUGGAUUUAUUGAAGACUAACUACUGCGAAAGCAUUUGCCAAGGAUGUUUUCAUUAAUCAGUGAACGAAAGUUAGGGGAUCGAAGACGAUCAGAUACCGUCGUAGUCUUAACCGUAAACUAUGCCGACUAGGGAUCGGGCGAUGUUUCUAUCUUGACUCGCUCGGCACCUUACGAGAAAUCAAAGUUUUUGGGUUCUGGGGGGAGUAUGGUCGCAAGGCUGAAACUUAAAGA